Molecule: ribosomal RNA, 1995 nt
Filed under: Triticum aestivum (bread wheat)
Lineage: Eukaryota; Viridiplantae; Streptophyta; Magnoliopsida; Poales; Poaceae
Description: partial small subunit ribosomal RNA
Source: RNAcentral
AUGCCGAGCUCAAAGAAGAACAAAGCUUCAGACUCGUCCAAGAAUCUCCAGAUGGUGAUCAGCGACGGCAAGGGCGAGGCCGCGGCCAGCGCCGUGACCGGGAGCGCAAUCGCCGCGUCGUACAACGACCAGAUACGGCCGCUUCUCGACGCUGUGGACCGCCUGCGCCACCUCAAGGUGACGCAGGAGGGCAUCCAGCUCCCGACGAUCGUGGUUGUCGGCGACCAGUCCAGCGGCAAGUCGAGCGUCCUUGAGUCCCUGGCCGGCAUCAGCCUCCCUCGCGGCCAGGGCAUCUGCACCCGCGUGCCGCUCGUCAUGCGGCUCCAGGACGACCCCUCCGCCGACUCGCCGGUGCUGCAGCUUGAGCACAUCAACGGCCGCGUGGUGACCACCACGGAGGCCAAUAUAGCCGGGUCGGGCAAGGGGAUCUCCGACGCGCCCAUCACCCUCGUCGUGCGCAAGCGGGGCGUGCCCGACCUCACCCUCGUCGACCUCCCCGGCAUCACGCGCGUGCCGGUCAAAGGGCAGCCCGACGACAUCUACGACCAGAUCGCCAAGAUCAUCAAGGACUACAUCUCGCCGAAAGAGAGCAUUAUCUUGAACGUGCUCUCUGCCACGGUCGACUUCCCGACGUGCGAGUCCAUCCGCAUGUCGCAGCAGGUGGACCGCACUGGUGAGCGCACGCUUGCAGUGGUCACCAAGGUGGACAAGUCCCCCGAGGGCCUGCUCGAGAAGGUCACCAUGGACGACGUCAACAUUGGCCUCGGGUACGUCUGUGUCCGCAACCGCAUCGGGGACGAGACCUAUGACCAGGCUCGUGUAGAGGAGGAGAAGCUGUUCAAGUACCACCAUCUGCUGUCCAAGAUCGAGAAGUCCAUGGUGGGCAUUCCUGUGCUUGCGCAGCGACUCAUGCAGAUUCAGGCGACCAUCAUCGCCAAGUGCCUCCCGGGCAUCGUCAAGCAGAUCAACGACCGCCUUAGCCGGAGCAGCACCGAGCUCAACCAGAUGCCGCCUGAUCUUGUUAGCGUCGCUGACGCGGUGAGAGAGUUUAUUCGUAUUGUCAAGCAGGUGUGCUCUUCCCUGGAGAAGAUACUGGUGAGGGGCGAGUUCGAUGAGUUCCCUGAUGACUGCCAUUUCCACGGCACGGCCCGUAUCGCGGAGAUGCUCAAUGCAUACGCAAAGAAGCUGCCUGUAGAAGUCCCAGGGCGUGGCGGCCUGUUCCUGAUGGAGGAGGUGAGAGUUCUGGAGGAGACCAAGGGCGUCAACCUCCCCAACUUCCUGCCAAGAUCGGCGUUCCAGAGGGUUGUGCUGGUUCCCCAAAACUUAUUGUCUUACACGCACGAUCUUGUCAAUGAGGUGUGGGAGUAUGUGGAGGACUUGGUGUCAAAGGUAGUUCUGCAGCAUGCCGACAACUUCCCUCAGGUGCAGUCAUCCUGCCGCCGUGCAGUCCAGAUGCUGAUGGAGAAGGCGCGUGCGCGAUCCGCGCAGCACAUUGAGGAGCUGAUGGAGAUGGAGCUGGUAGCUGAUUUCACGGCUAAUCCUGAAUACAUGAAGACUUGGUACGAGAUCAUGGAAAGUCAUGAGAAGUUUAUGGACGCUGUGGUGGACACCUCCAAGUCCACCCUUCUUAACCUGGUAGGCUUUGGAGAAGUGGACGUGUCGCAUCUGAGGGUGAAUUCUGAGUUGGCAGGGCAGGCGUUUGACCUGAGCGCGCGCGUGACCGCCUACUGGAAGAUCAUCGUGCUCCGGCUCAUCGACGGCCUGGCGCUGCACGUCCUUCGUGGCGUCAAGCGGCUCGUGGAGAGUGAGCUCGAGAGGGAACUGUCUGACGAGCUUUUGGGUAACAAGCUGGCAGGGGUGGAGCGGAUGCUCAUGCCGUCGCCUGGCAGUGGCACCAAGCGUGAGCGCCUCAAGAAGAGCAUCGUGCUGCUUCGGCAGUCCAAGGAGGUCGUGGCCAACAUCAUGGACAGGAUCAGUGCGUCGGGUGAAAUCUAG